GAUGAACGCUGGCGGCGUGCCUAAUACAUGCAAGUCGAGCGAACAGACGAGGAGCUUGCUCCUCUGACGUUAGCGGCGGACGGGUGAGUAACACGUGGAUAACCUACCUAUAAGACUGGGAUAACUUCGGGAAACCGGAGCUAAUACCGGAUAAUAUAUUGAACCGCAUGGUUCAAUAGUGAAAGACGGUUUUGCUGUCACUUAUAGAUGGAUCCGCGCCGCAUUAGCUAGUUGGUAAGGUAACGGCUUACCAAGGCGACGAUGCGUAGCCGACCUGAGAGGGUGAGCGGCCACACUGGAACUGAGACACGGUCCAGACUCCUACGGGAGGCAGCAGUAGGGAAUCUUCCGCAAUGGGCGAAAGCCUGACGGAGCAACGCCGCGGGAGUGAUGAAGGUCUUCGGAUCGUAAAACUCUGUUAUUAGGGAAGAACAAAUGUGUAAGUAACUAUGCACGUCUGGACGGUACCUAAUCAGAAAGCCACGGCUAACUACGU
RNAcentral lists this ribosomal RNA (496 nucleotides) under uncultured bacterium. RNAcentral describes it as "partial 16S ribosomal RNA". It matches the Rfam family "Bacterial small subunit ribosomal RNA", at positions 28 to 506 of the family's 1533-position model. The record is from RNAcentral.